Molecule: ribosomal RNA, 732 nt
Filed under: uncultured bacterium
Lineage: Bacteria
Description: bacterial SSU rRNA
Rfam family: Bacterial small subunit ribosomal RNA
Source: RNAcentral
AAUACGUUGAUAUCGAGAGGAACACCAGCGGCGAAGGCGAUUCACUGGCCCUUUUCUGACGCUCAGGCUCGAAAGCGUGGGGAGCAAAACGGAUUAGAUACCCGUGUAGUCCACGCCCUAAACUAUGGACGCUAGGUGUAUGGCACAAUCGCUACAAUCCUUCGGGAUUGUAAUGAGAGUGUUGUGUACCGUAGCUAACGCGUUAAGCGUCCCGCCUGUGUACUACGGCCGCAAGGCUAAAACAUAAAUGAAUUGGCGGGGUCCCGCACAAGCAGAGGAGCGCGUGGUUUAAUUCGAUGGUAAUCGAAGAACCUUACCAGGGUUUGAAAUGUAUCUGCAAGCUUUAGGAAACUAGAGCCCCCUUCGAGGGUGAUACACAGGUGCUGCAUGGCCGUCGUCAGCUCGUGUCGUGAGAUGUAGGGUUAAGUCCCGAAACGAGCGCAACCCCUAUCCCAUGUUACAAGUGUCUUGGGAAACUGCCUCGGUAAAACGGGGAGGAAGGUGGGGAUGAUGUCUGGUCCGCAUGGCCCUUAUGUCCUGGGCGACACACGCGCUACAAUGGUCGGUACAACGGGUUGCCAAAUCGUAAGAUGGAGCUAAUCCUAAAAAGCCGAUCUCAGUUCAGAUUGAGGUCUGAAACUCGACCUCAUGAAGGUGGAUUUGCUAGUAAUCGUGGAUCAGCCAUGCCACGGUGAAUACGUUCUCGGGACUUGCACACACCGCCCGAAGGGC